UUAUGUAUUCAGGUAUAUUGGCGAAGUGAUACGUGUGUUGUAAUAACUGGAAAAAGAGAAGAGAAAAAAAGGGAGAGGGAAGGGAAAAACGACGUCGUUUUGCAGAGGGGAAAAAACGGCGUCGUUUUGGAAAAGAAAAAACGACGUCGUUUUGCAAGGGGGAAAACGACGCCGUUUUGAGGAAAAACUGUGAUGAUUUAAGUAGGGGGCGGGGGAAGGAAGAGAGGAGAAGAGGAAAGAAAAGAAAAGAAAAAAAGAGGGAAGAAAGAGAGCAGAGGAAGAAGGGGAGCGGGAGAGAGAGAGAAGAGGAAGGAAGGUUCCAGAAGGAGGGAGAAAGGAAGUAGAGCGGAGAGAAGAGUAGAUCACGGACGGUGAUAGCAGAUUCGGCCGAAAGAGGGAAAAAUAGAAAUGGGAGGUACGGUACCAAACUCUAAAUGUGUGUGUUGAUU
This 449-nucleotide long non-coding RNA is filed under the name Carica papaya (papaya). Its description in RNAcentral is "long non-coding RNA (CPAP_LNC015290)". The record is from RNAcentral. Lineage: Eukaryota; Viridiplantae; Streptophyta; Magnoliopsida; Brassicales; Caricaceae.